UACAGAGGGGGCAAGCGUUGUUCGGAAUUACUGGGCGUAAAGGGCGCGUAGGCGGCCUUCUAAGUCGAACGUGAAAUCCCCGGGCUCAACCCGGGAACUGCGUCCGAUACUGGAAGGCUUGAAUCCGGGAGAGGGAUGCGGAAUUCCAGGUGUAGCGGUGGAAUGCGUAGAGAUCCGGAAGAACACCGGUGGCGAAGGCGGCCUGCUGGGCAGUUUAGCUGACACUGAGGCGCGACAGCGUGGGGAGCAAACAGG
RNAcentral lists this ribosomal RNA (255 nucleotides) under uncultured bacterium. RNAcentral's name for it is "partial 16S ribosomal RNA". It matches the Rfam family "Bacterial small subunit ribosomal RNA", at positions 524 to 776 of the family's 1533-position model. The record is from RNAcentral.